AGGCGACGACGGGUAGCCGGCCUGAGAGGGCGACCGGCCACACUGGGACUGAGACACGGCCCAGACUCCUACGGGAGGCAGCAGUGGGGAAUAUUGGGCAAUGGAGGAAACUCUGACCCAGCGACGCCGCGUGCGGGAUGAAGGCCUUCGGGUUGUAAACCGCUUUCAGCAGGGAAGAAGCGAAAGUGACGGUACCUGCAGAAGAAGCACCGGCUAACUAUGUGCCAGCAGCCGCGGUAAUACAUAGGGUGCAAGCGUUGUCCGGAAUUAUUGGGCGUAAAGAGCUCGUAGGUGGUUCGUCACGUCGGAUGUGAAACUCUGGGGCUUAACCCCAGACCUGCAUUCGAUACGGGCGA
RNAcentral lists this ribosomal RNA (356 nucleotides) under uncultured bacterium. RNAcentral describes it as "bacterial SSU rRNA". It matches the Rfam family "Bacterial small subunit ribosomal RNA", at positions 271 to 639 of the family's 1533-position model. RNAcentral also lists the same sequence under 1 other name. The record is from RNAcentral.